This is a long non-coding RNA of Carassius gibelio (silver crucian carp), 2383 nucleotides long. RefSeq lists it as uncharacterized. The transcript is spliced from 3 exons. NCBI's taxonomy places the organism in Eukaryota, Metazoa, Chordata, Actinopteri, Cypriniformes, Cyprinidae. The record is from RefSeq and is a predicted model, not a curated record.
UUAUCACUCGAUUGAAUGGGGCGUUAUCAGCGGUUAUCAGCCCAUAGGUAUGGGCCAGGAGGGGCCUCCUGCGCCUACUAGUAGGCUCAGAAGGCCGUGAUCAUCCAUCCAAAUGGUUGAUCACCCACAAAUAUACAAGAGAAGACUCCAGAUUCAAUCCCAGAAUUCCUGCUCACCGGUAAUCGGAAGUCUACUGGACGAACGCGGCAACGUUGCGAUAUUUCCUGCUUAAUAUUUUCAGAUAUGGGAAAAGCACUUAAGAUGAGCACACGUUUCAGGAACGUUAAAAUUAAGUUGGUGAGGAGGUCUAUCGCUGGCCCUGCGAAGUUUUCUUACCUCAGGCAAGGUCUUCCCCAGCCCAGCUACAAACAGACCCACCCUUCAGACCCUUCUAUUACAUCUCAACCAGCUGAACCUGAUGAUGUGACACCAAGCUGUUCUGAGAGUGCAUACAGUAAGGCAAAGAAGAGAGAGCUUCAUGCCUGGGAUGCAGUCUAGGAUGAGAUGCUUAAGGUGUCGUUUGAAUGUUCAGCACAGAUCACUACCCAGUGUGCUGUCUGCCGAGAACAUGCUGAUUAUAGGUGCAUUGAGUGCAGCUCCACUGCAGUGUUCUGUGAGGUUUGCCUGAAGAGGAUUCACAGAAAUUUACUGCAUCUUCCUGAAAAGUGGAAUGUAAGAACAAUAGCAUACAGUCUUACAUUGCUAUUGCUAUACUUGCAUACAGACAGCAAACUCACAGUAAUGUCAACAGAUUCAUUCGAUACUUCGAAUUGUUUUAGCACUAUGCAGUAUCAACUGUUAGUGUCACAAGUUUGUUGUUUUAAAAACAUUAGAGCUAUCCAUCUUUCUUACAGAGUGUUUACUAUGAGCCAUCCUCCCUGGGGUUAUUCCUAUAUUUACCUGAAGCCCAUGGCACCCAUGCUGUGUACACAAAGGACAUGAAGAUCAUUGUCAGCACAGGACGGCUCUGCACCGUUACAGUCAACAUGUGUGCGUGUGAACCAGAAACCUGUACUCUGCUAAGAUAUGGGCUCUGACCAGACAGCCUUCUCCAUCCCUCUGCUAGAGCUUUCUGUUUCUCUGUCACUGGAGUGUCAGGUUUCUAUUGAGGGUUUUUGCAACACCCCAUAUCCCAUUUUAGGCAUCACCACUUCCGACAAAGAAGUUUGGUUGAUAUUUGCCCACAAUUAAAUGAUGGAACAAUAUGCCCAGCAUGUCCAAAGGUUGGUUAUAAUUCCAGCGUGGUUCUUGUUUGAUUAAAUUAAUGGCAUAGAAAUAAAAUCUGAAUUAAUAUCAAACUUAAAAGUUAAUUUGUGUAUGUAGUAUUGUAAUAGAAUAGUAAUAGUAUAAAUGUAUAAACCUGGUGCGGGUACAAAACCAGUGUUACUGUAAGUGUUUGUUUUCCAGGCGGAUGGAGAUAUGAUUGUCACAUUGGAUGCCAACUUUGGCCUUGUGAGGAAUCAAAGCUCUGGGACAAGUGCGGUUGAUCCAUUACACGGAACCCGCAUGCUUAGAGGAAUACCUGCUAUCACAUCUUGACAGCUCAAAGCCUCGAGGUGAAAACUUGUGAAAAAAGAUAACUAUUCCUCUCAUAAAUCUAUGUUUUCCUUAAAUAUUUAGGACUGCAGUAAGCUGCUCUCAUUCAAGGUAUUAUAAUAUAAUAUAAUAUAAUUACUUUACUGCGUUACUUGUGCAGACAUGUUGUUUUACUAGGUCUGAUCUAUUUUAAAGCUUAGGCACUGUAUUUAAGCAUACAUAUACACCACUAGUCUGUCUGUAUGAGUACAAAAUUAAAAAAUAAACUGUCUAUAAUUGUUACUGUACAAGCACAGUAAAAUAUUUAUAUAAAAAAUAUUGCACUACUGUUAUUUUGCAUAGAAUACAUUGUUCAACAAUAUUUUUGCACACUCAUCCAACUGCAUUUAUUACCACUGUUCUCACGUUCCUGCUGUUCAUAACAUAUAUAUAAUCCUUCAUUGCUCUGUUCAUAAUGUACAUACAAUCCCUACAUUGCAUUCAUAUUUAUAUUCUGUAUAUACUCUGAUCAAUAUUGUAUAUAGCAACUCCACUGUACAUUCUGUAUAUCAUAGCUUUACUUACUCUGCACUUUUAUGUAUAUAAAACACUAUAUUCUUGCUUUUCCGGUUAGAUGCUAACUGCAUUUCAUUAGCUCUGUACUUGUACUCUGCAUAAUGACAAUAAAGUUGAAUCUAAUCUAAUCUAAAAAAAAAAAAAAAAUGUGUUUACCAUAAUGUAAUAUGUUAUUUACUGUAAUGUACAAAUGUGUGGGAGGUGUUUUGUUUUUUGUGAGCUCACCAUCAAAAUCCCCUUCGACUGAGUUGAAAUGAAAAUAAAUUAUUGGAUCUUGAAUCCUCUGAAGCAA